CCUACGGGAGGCAGCAGUGAGGAAUAUUGGACAAUGGGCGCAAGCCUGAUCCAGCCAUGCCGCGUGCAGGAAGACGGUCCUAUGGAUUGUAAACUGCUUUUAUACAGGAAGAAACACACCCUCGUGAGGGAGCUUGACGGUACUGUAAGAAUAAGGAUCGGCCAACUCCGUGCCAGCAGCCGCGGUAAUACGGAGGAUCCAAGCGUUAUCCGGAAUCAUUGGGUUUAAAGGGUCCGUAGGCGGUUUAAUAAGUCAGUGGUGAAAUCUGGUCGCUCAACGAUCAAACGGCCAUUGAUACUGUUAGACUUGAAUUAUAAGGAAGUAACUAGAAUAUGUAGUGUAGCGGUGAAAUGCUUAGAUAUUACAUGGAAUACCAAUUGCGAAGGCAGGUUACUACUUAUGGAUUGACGCUGAUGGACGAAAGCGUGGGGAGCGAACAGGAUUAGAUACCCUGGUAGUCCACGCCGUAAACGAUGGAUACUAGCUGUUCGGAGCAAUCUGAGUGGCUAAGCGAAAGUGAUAAGUAUCCCACCUGGGGAGUACGUUCGCAAGAAUGAAACUCAAAUGAAAUUGACCGG
RNAcentral lists this ribosomal RNA (578 nucleotides) under uncultured bacterium. RNAcentral describes it as "bacterial SSU rRNA". It matches the Rfam family "Bacterial small subunit ribosomal RNA", at positions 338 to 917 of the family's 1533-position model. The record is from RNAcentral.